UGUUGAUUUUCUGGAGACGCUCCAGUUUACUAUGGAGUGUAGUUGGGGAGCCCUGGUUUCCACUCUCUCGUCGCAGUCGCUGAGGUCUGCCCAUCUCCAAGGGCACCGGUGUUUCUGCAGUUUGGCCUGGUGAACAUCAACUUCAUCACUUGUGGCUCCGCUGCAGCAGGAGUUGCUCGAGGGUUUGCUGGGAGGCUUAGAUGCCAAUGCAAUUUUGGUCGGCUCCCGAGGAUGUUGGCCUGUAGUAUAGGUUGAGGCCUGAUGUACCUGUGAGUUUCUUCAUAUUUUGUUAGGCAUGUGAGCUAUUUCAUCUCCUCUUAUAAAGUCUGAAUGAGUGUUAUUUCUAUAUUGGAAUGCAAAUGCAAUAGUGAAGUAAUUCUUGCUCUGAA
Panicum virgatum (switchgrass) is the source of this 389-nucleotide long non-coding RNA. RefSeq lists it as uncharacterized. The record is from RefSeq and is a predicted model, not a curated record. NCBI's taxonomy places the organism in Eukaryota, Viridiplantae, Streptophyta, Magnoliopsida, Poales, Poaceae. The transcript is spliced from 2 exons.